AAGCACGUGUAAACGCACCUACGCCUGCACUUCGUCAGGUUUAUGUCCCUCUGCCGUUUUCGCCCUGCCGAGCCGUGCCAGCAACGCGGAACGAGAAGGCUGAGGUAGGAACGGAAAGAAUAGUGCGAAGAGAUAGAUCAAGGCUCGCGUAUGGUGUUGCGGACGCCGACCACCACCACGCCGCUGCCGACGCAGCAGCAGCAGCAGCAUCACCAGUCACAGCAGAGCUACUUCCAUGCGAACGUGACGGCGCUGCGGAGCCUGCAGCACCGGAUGCAGCUGCGGGCGGAAGCGGCACAGGUGCUGCACACUGAUCCAUCAUCUUCUUCGCUCGGUAAAAGUAGCCUGCCAGCGUCGCCAGCACAGCACCGCCACUGCCAAUGCGGCGCUGCUCGUCCUGCGCCAUUGCCUUCCUCUCCAUCAAAGCCGACCGCAGCGCAGACAGCACCAGCGAGCCCUGAUGCGCCCUUCUCUCUUUGGUCACCACAGCUGCACGCAGCUGUUUUACGAGUCGCAGACUUGGGUGAAGUGGAUAUCACCGCCGGGGCGUACUGCACGGCGCGGGGCACGACGCGGCGAACAGCAACGGCGCAACUGCCAGAGAUGAGCCACCUUGGCAGUGUAGUCGGUAAUGGAGAAGGCGUGCCAGCUGCAGGAAGCUCGCCAGGGGGGUGCGGCGCCUGCACAUGUCGAGGCUGUGGCUGUCUCGAUGGGCCCAACGCAAGUAGGGAGGAACAGCAGUGUCGUAAUCACCGCCGGCAUCGCAGCAGUCAUCACAAGCGGCACGGCCGUAGCAGCGGCAGAAGGCGCCGUGAUGACUCGGUCGGCUCCUGCCCGCCUUCUUCUCCCGGUCCGUCCAAGUCCGCCGCCGCAGCAACGGCUCGGCUGCCAAGCGCCGUUUCGCUCCUUGCGACGGCUUCCAAUGCGUCACCAGUUGCGUCUCCGUUUCGUGACCAGGAAGUGCUGGAGCGCAUCAUGGCCAAGUACCGCACCCCUCCAACACCGCCCGCGGAGCCAGCGCAACAGCAGCCGCUGCAUAUCUUCCUCCAUUGCGGAUGUGAAAAGACGGGAGCAGCGCCUGAUAUCACAGCAUUGGCGGGGACUUAUGCCUCAGCAGCCACAUUAGUGGCCCCAGGGCCGACAGCGAAGACAGCGACAGCCUCCACUCCUGCCUCAUCCCCGCCAUCAGCCGCGUCCGUCCCGCCGCCACCACCAGCCGCGUCCGUCCCUCCACCACCACCAGCCGUGUCCGUCCCACCGCCACCACCACCAGCCGCAUCCGUCCCGCCGCCGCCGCCAGCCGCGUCCGUCCCUCCACCACCACCAGCCGUGUCCGUCCCACCGCCACCACCACCAGCCGCGUCCGUCCCUCCACCACCACCAGCCGUGUCCGUUCCGCCGCCACCGCCAUCAGCCGCAUCCGUCCCGCCGCCGCCGCCAGCGGCAUCCGUCCCUCCACCACCACCACCACCAGCCGCAUUCGUCCCUCCACCACCGCGGAGUGCGUCUGCGCUUAAAACCCCGCCGGCGAUUGCCGGUGCACCGUCAAGGUCGCGGUCUCCUACUGCGCCGGCCCACUCCGCGAUAGACAAGGAGCGGCAGAUGCUGCUGGAGAAGGCUGACAAAUACGUCUGGCAACUUGAGCAGGAGGUGCAGCACCGCGCCCUUCAUUAUAACGUCGUGCUGCAGCAGCUAGCGGAGGAGGAGGCACGCAGCGCAGCUCUACGCCACGACCGCGACGCACUCCUGGAGCUUAACGGCGGCCUGCAAGCCUCUCUGAACUACACUGGAGGUAGCAGCAACUCACGGAGGCGACACCGGCACGGACACUCUACCUCCUCCUCCUCUACGUCAACCUGUGAAGCGACGGCAAGGCCAUCGCCUCAGGGUGCAAGUGAAUCAAACAAAAAAGGUCUGCCACCGCCACAGCAACAGCAGCAGCAGCAGCCGGCGCGUCGUCUCCCACCAGCGGUUGAGUCCGUCUACGCCUCUCUGCAGAUCCCCGCGGAUGCUGGUGCAGCAGCCGCACCAUCGGCGGCGCCGUCAACAUCUGCCACCUAUGUACCAGCAUCCACCGCAACUGCGGCAACAGGAGAAGGUCGCGCGAGCGCGACGCAAGAAGUGCUCCGACACGUACUGCUUGAGCGUGAAGCGGCACUGCAGUCGUCGCCGCGGCCCAGCAUGGCGAAAGCGGUGAUGGGCACGCCGAACAGCGUGCCUUACCAUGGCUACUCCGACGAACUGCGCCGCUACGUGGAUCGCCUUUAUCAGGAAGCAGAGGCUGGCGCCGCUCAUGUGCGGCAGGCAAGUCUGCCCUCGGUGAUUCCAACGGGUGCCGCCGCAGCGGCAUCGUCCCUCGCACCCUCACUUGAGCUACCAGCCUACCAGCUGCAGCAGAGGCAACGCCAGUCGGAGCUAGAGCAGCUCCGGGCAGAGGUAGCGGUAGAGGGGGAGCGCAUGAGGGCCGAUGCGCAGCGGUGGCGCGCCUACCUUCAACAACAGCAACAGCAACGGCUUUGAAGCUCCCCUUUCCCCGACGGCGCAUACAUCUCUCUCGCUGAUGGGCUGAUUUUUUCGUCUCGCCUGCCUCGCCUGUUUUGCAUGCAUCUUGCGCUGUACGCAAACUCGAAGCACUGCCGCACAUGCACAAUCCUCUUCUCCCUCACCACCCGCGCUCAGCUUCGCCUUUUCACAGGGGUGGCAUAGAUGAUAGAUGGGCGCGCCCCCUUCUCGCUCUCGUCCCUUCGCUUCUCGCUCGCUCUCGGUGAUCCGCCGCCGCCGCCGUCUCCCUCCCUUCUUUAGUUUUUGUCAGGCGACAGCAAGAGCGAUGACAGUAUGGCGUGCGGAUGUGUAGUGUCAUACACAUAGAUAUAUAUGUUUGCAUGUACAUGUGUACACACACAUUAUAUGUGUGUGUGUGUGUGCGUGUGUAUGCCUGCGCACUUUUUUCUGCGUUUCCCAG
RNAcentral lists this unclassified non-coding RNA (2962 nucleotides) under Leishmania donovani. Its description in RNAcentral is "gene:LdHU3.22.1400(CDS-product:hypothetical_prote in_conserved)". The record is from RNAcentral. Lineage: Eukaryota; Euglenozoa; Kinetoplastea; Trypanosomatida; Trypanosomatidae.